CUUGAAAAUGAAAGAAAUACCUGCUACUUAAAGGAGAUUUUAACUGAAAGCUGAAUUUAAUAUAUGAUAGGAUGACUUCAUGAACAUAUCCAAAGUCAAAAUGGCCAAGACAAUAUUAAUUGCAGCGUCAGUCAUAAUCAUGUGUGGGCACAUGAUAAUCACAUGAACAAGAAUGCAGAAGAUUGAUGUAAGCCAUAAAUAUUAAGGGCCAGAUCUUCAUCUGGACUUCACAGACUUCAGUGGAGCUAUAAAAUUCACAUCAGCUGAGCAGCUGCUCCUUAAUGUUGUAUAGGUUUUGCUCAACUACUGUAACUUCUACCUCUAAUAGUCAUCAGCAAC
Long non-coding RNA from Alligator sinensis (Chinese alligator), 339 nucleotides. RefSeq lists it as uncharacterized. The transcript has 3 exons. Lineage: Eukaryota; Metazoa; Chordata; Crocodylia; Alligatoridae. The record is from RefSeq and is a predicted model, not a curated record.